This is a long non-coding RNA of Ailuropoda melanoleuca (giant panda), 1741 nucleotides long. RefSeq lists it as uncharacterized. The record is from RefSeq and is a predicted model, not a curated record. Lineage: Eukaryota; Metazoa; Chordata; Mammalia; Carnivora; Ursidae. The transcript is spliced from 8 exons.
UCGGAAGAGGAAGAGACACUAUGAGUACACAUGCAAAGGAAAAAGGCCAAGUGAGGGUGAGGCGAUGACCAUCUGCAAGCCAAGGAGAGAGCCUUCAUGAGAAACCAACCUCUUCUGCACUUUGAUCUUGGACUUCCAGCCUCCAGAAGAGUGAGAAAAUACAUUGCUGCUGUUGAAGUCACUCAAUCGGUUAUAUUAUGUUGUGGUACCCCAAGCAGACUAUUACAGCUAGGUGGACUUCUUGCCGGUCUGAUGUUUAUUACAUCUUGCCUAAUGGAACUGCAGACUUACUAGUUGCUGCAUUAAAAAAAAAAAAUCCUCCAUAAUGAAAGAGGAGAUAAAGCCGAAGAAAAGAGGAGGGGCAAAAAGAAUCACUUUCAGAAGAUUUUACACAUGUACAUUCAGCAUGCUGAGCAGAUGAGGUUAUUGGAGGAAUGAUGACGGUGAAUGCCUCCAGCUGUGUAUGCAAGGGGUGACGAGGCUCCAGAACUUGGAGAAAUCUCUUUAUUGGGAAACUGGAGACUGGGCAAAUCUGGCCCCAGGAGAGUUUCAGUUACCUGUGAAAGGCCAGCUAUGUCUUCAAGGAGAUCCUUUCCAGGGGGAAAAAACAGACCUGGUGACACCAUGAGCACAGGUAGUUUUUGAGGACUUCUUGGCCAAGUCUUUGUUUCGCACAAUUGGACACAGGUAUGGCUGGUCUUACAAGAAGUGGAGAGAGACACACAGGGAGAAGAUGGUCAUGUGACAAUGGAGGCAGAGGCGGGAUUGAUCCAUCUACAAGCGAGAAAACACCAAGGAUUGUUGGCAAACACCAGAAGCUGGAAGAGGCAAGGAAGGAUUCCUUUCUCCUGGUCUCAAAAUGAGCAUGGCCCUGCUAACAUCUCACCUUGAUUGUACACUUCUGGCUUUCAGAAAUGUGACACAAUUUGGCCAAAUAGAAGAAAAGUAGAGUCAGAUUCCAGCUGUCCGUUAAUUUCAUCCUAAGGUCCUUCCUGGCUACUCUGCACACUGAUUUACAAAGAUAGCCAGCUGCCAGAAUCCAGUAUCUGGUUAGGAUCCUUGACAUCGGUGCUCCAUGGAGAACGGAAUGCCCGGCCGGAGAGCAUGUCGGCUCUGUACAGAAUCUGCUGCUGCAGAGACAGCAGGGAUGUCAAUAUACUGCUGCCCCUGGGGCUGGACAGACUGAUGGGCCCAUCUGUAGGGCAGGAGCAGCCAGAACAGAAAACUGAACAAGAAGCUAAUGAAGAGUUGGAGGAGAACCAGGAAACAGAGGACUUGGAAUUAACAGGAAUUUCUAAAGAGAACAGCAAGUCCAACUACUCCGUAGGGAGAGUUUACUGGAGACUUUGUGAAGAACAGUCCAACUUCCCAAGGAAAGAGUAUGUCCAUACCUCAAAGAAAUCACAAAGAAAUCAAAGAAAUCUGUCCACACUGGGACCUCCAUCUGCCCCCGUCUCACAGGGGUCCAACAAUACGUGGGAAGUCUGGAGAGUUUCGUGUGCCCCCUCCUGGCAUAUGGGAGGGAGAGAAAGAUCCAACCAGAGAGGUGUGUGAGCCCCGUAUGUAGGCUUGCUGAAACUUUGAGCUCUUGUCUUCCUCCCUCCCUAGGAGGUGCCCCAGAUAUCUCCCAUUCUCUAUCCCCAUAAAACAAAGGCACAGAAAUGACUCAAUUCUGAAGUACUAUUGUCUAGAUCAGUAUAGCGUGACUUCAAGUUUUCAGAAAAUUCAACAGUUUGCUCAG